GAUGAACGCUGGCGGCGUGCCUAAUACAUGCAAGUCGAGCGAACGGACGAGAAGCUUGCUUCUCUGAUGUUAGCGGCGGACGGGUGAGUAACACGUGGAUAACCUACCUAUAAGACUGGGAUAACUUCGGGAAACCGUAGCUAAUACCGGAUAAUAUUUUGAACCGCAUGGUUCAAAAGUGAAAGACGGUCUUGCUGUCACUUAUAGAUGGAUCCGCGCUGCAUUAGCUAGUUGGUAAGGUAACGGCUUACCAAGGCAACGAUGCAUAGCCGACCUGAGAGGGGGAUCGGCCACACUGGACUGAGACACGGUCCAGACUCCUACGGGAGGCAGCAGUAGGGAAUCUUCCGCAAUGGGCGAAAGCCUGACGGAGCAACGCCGCGUGAGUGAUGAAGGUCUUCGGAUCGUAAAACUCUGUUAUUAGGAAAGAACAUAUGUGUAAGUAACUGUGCACAUCUUGACGGUACCUAAUCAGAAAGCCACGGCUAACUACGUG
This 496-nucleotide ribosomal RNA is filed under the name uncultured bacterium. RNAcentral's name for it is "partial 16S ribosomal RNA". It matches the Rfam family "Bacterial small subunit ribosomal RNA", at positions 28 to 507 of the family's 1533-position model. The record is from RNAcentral.